RNAcentral lists this unclassified non-coding RNA (110 nucleotides) under Oryza sativa (Asian cultivated rice). Its description in RNAcentral is "partial microRNA MIR497c precursor". The record is from RNAcentral. Lineage: Eukaryota; Viridiplantae; Streptophyta; Magnoliopsida; Poales; Poaceae.
AUUAGUUACCCUCUAAUUGUGUUGUCAUUAACACCAAAAUAAAUGAGGGGUCCUAGAUGCACUUUCAAUCUCCCCUUUUUGGUGAUUGAUGACAACACACUUAGAAGUAA